Molecule: ribosomal RNA, 776 nt
Filed under: uncultured Neocallimastigales
Lineage: Eukaryota; Fungi; Neocallimastigomycota; Neocallimastigomycetes; Neocallimastigales
Description: partial large subunit ribosomal RNA
Rfam family: Eukaryotic large subunit ribosomal RNA
Source: RNAcentral
UAUGUGAUCGUCUCUCGCAUAUCAAUAAGCGGAGGAAAAGAAACUAACAAGGAUUCCCCUAGUAACGGCGAGUGAAGCGGGAAGAGCUCAAAUUUGAAAUCUUAAAGGGUUUCCCUUUACGAAUUGUAGUUUAAAGAAGUGUUUUUCUGUUGAGGUUUUGGUAAAAGUUCUUUGGAAUAGGACAUCAUAGAGGGUGAGAAUCCCGUAUUUGACCUUUACUUUCAACUUUGUGAUACACUUUCAAAGAGUCGGAUUGUUUGGGAAUGCAGUCCAAAAUGGGUGGUAAAUUUCAUCUAAAGCUAAAUAUUGGCGAGAGACCGAUAGCGAACAAGUACCGUGAGGGAAAGAUGAAAAGAACUUUGAAAAGAGAGUUAAACAGUACGUGAAAUUGUCAAAAGGGAAGCGUUUGACACCAGUGUUGUUUUUCUGAAAAUCAAUUAAAGAACUGUUUAUGCUAAGUUGUUUAGACUUUAUCAGCUAACUGUUUAGUUUUGAGCUUUUCUUUAAUGCACUUUUCAGUUAACAAGUCAACAUCAAUUUCUUUUGCUGUAAAAAAGCUUGAGGAAGGUGGCUUGAGAUUCGUCUUAAGUGUUUAUAGCCUCUUGCCUAUGCAGUCGGAGAGAUUGAGGUCUGCAGCGUAGAUCCUUCGGGGCUAAAUGCACUUUGUGCUAAGUUAUAGCAUUUUAUAGACAACUUGUUGACUAUGAUUUGUCUUGUAGCUUACUCGCUUAUGUUAUUUUACCUACGCUUAGGAUGUUGAUCUACAGAGCGAGAGU